RNAcentral lists this ribosomal RNA (753 nucleotides) under uncultured bacterium. RNAcentral's name for it is "bacterial SSU rRNA". It matches the Rfam family "Bacterial small subunit ribosomal RNA", at positions 28 to 779 of the family's 1533-position model. The record is from RNAcentral.
AUUGAACGCUGGCGGCAUGCCUAACACAUGCAAGUCGAACGGCAGCACGGUCGUAGCAAUACGAUGGGUGGCGAGUGGCGGACGGGUGAGGAACACAUAGGAAUCUACCCAGCCGUGGGGGAUAACGUAGGGAAACUUACGCUAAUACCGCAUACGACGGUGACGUGAAAGUGGGGACGCAAGGCCUCACGCGAUUGGAUGAGCCUAUGUCCGAUUAGCUAGUUGGCGGGGUAAGAGCCCACCAAGGCGACGAUCGGUAGCUGGUCUGAGAGGAUGAUCAGCCACACUGGAACUGAGACACGGUCCAGACUCCUACGGGAGGCAGCAGUGGGGAAUAUUGGACAAUGGGCGCAAGCCUGAUCCAGCAAUGCCGCGUGGGUGAAGAAGGCCUUCGGUUGUAAGCCUUUGUACGGAAGAAAAGCUGCCGGUUAAUACCUGGUGGUCAUGACGGUACCGUAAGAAUAAGCACCGGCUAACUUCGUGCCAGCAGCCGCGGUAAUACGAAGGGUGCAAGCGUUAAUCGGAAUUACUGGGCGUAAAGCGUGCGUAGGUGGUUGUAAGUCUGUCGUGAAAGCCCUGGGCUCAACCUGGGAAUGGCGAUGGAUACUGGCUGACUAGAGUGCGGUAGAGGGUAGCGAAUUUCCGGUGUAGCGGUGAAAAUGCGUAGAGAUCGGAAGGAACAUCCGUGGCGAAGGCGGCUACCUGGACCAGCACUGACACUGAGGCACGAAAGCGUGGGGAGCAAACAGAAUU